GAGGCUAUUUUGGGGAGCGUAUCUCCUAUGAAUAUUUUCAUUGGCGCGAAAGGUAGUAAUUUGCAAGGUCGUGACCCCGUGGCCUACGCAACAUAGCGCGUGGUGCGGCGAAGUAGGUCAUGUGAUUUCAAGAAGUUUAGGUGGAUGUGAGGGAGGUGCUGGCUUCAUUUGUUGAUAGCAAUCAAUUGUGAUAUGAACUCCAGUGAGUGGACUGUUGGUUGUACAGAUGUGUACGGUGAUGUCGGGGCCGUCGAGGGAGGAGUGUGUCCCCGUGUCAGCCAUUACAGAAGUGGGAUAGUUGAUACAACACGUGGCCACAACACCAGGACGCUUUUACUGGGAUAGACAUCUGAGGAUGACACACAUGGCUAGCUGUCGGCCCCUCACAGACAGUUGCCCGACACGGUCGGAAGUUUCUACCGGAAGUACGUACUUCUAAAAUGGUGUUUCAGCCAGCUGUGUCACGUGAUCCACAACAUCUCGUACUACAUGAUCACGUUUCCUUGUCACUGUUUCGUCCCGUGUGUUAAGCGAGACUGGACGGAAAACUGAUAAGGGCACGUGUUGUGUUAAACUUCCUUGGCGUCGUCCUCACCAACUAUUUCACCUCCUUCCGGUCUUGUGCUUGGCAUCUGACUGUCCAAUGACCAAGCUGCAUUCCAAAUCACAGCCAAUCAGAUACAGUGCUGAUGGUUUCAACCGUCCGAUGACGUGGCUAUGGCGGAUGUCACCUUCACCUUCAGGGAUGGACAUAUAUAGGAGCGCAGUGCGCAGGACAGGACGUUGCGGUGCCGGGAGGUGGAAUAUUGCAGUUAAUGCAUGACUGAGUGAAUUCAUUCACCGUAACCACUGACGCAUGGCCUGUUGCACUUUGGUAAUUAUAGUUUCAAUGCAUGUGAUAUACUAUGUUAUUUUCACGCACGUCACAACGUCUUAAUUUCAUUACAAGUUUUUGUCACCAUGUCUUAUAUUCAGCUGUAUGGGGCCACAUACCAAUGUAGCUUUCGCCUACCCAGUGUGUGUGGCUCGGUGUCAGCCCCCUGGCCUGCUCCCACUGUCUCACAAACAUCCCCAGCCAGAUAGUCAAUAAGUACGGUGAGAGGGGAGCCCCCUGUCUCCCCCCAUGUGAUGUGUACAGACACGUCGCCGACAACCUGCUAACACCAGCCGCGGAGAAACCGCAACAUUAAUAUAUGGAUCAUUCCAAGGGAGGUAACUAGGACAAAGGUAAAAAUGUGUUAUCUUUCCCUAUCUCUUAUGUACUCAUCUUCCCAGCACGAAACCCGGGUGUAUUAUAUUCGCCUGUCAGCUCUCCUUGUUAAACUGAUCACUCUUUCAUGUUGGGACCAGCUACUGUCACUGGCUGUGUCUAUACUUGUCAUGGGAGGUGGAUGUUCAGCCUUCCCUCUCCACCAUACUGGGAGCACGUUACAAUGUAGGUCAGUUCACUGACACUCCCAGUCGAAUGUCGACAUACACUACCAAGCUCGAUUCAGACAUUGUUAGGUGAGUAAUAUACCAUUAUGUACUAGGGUUCCACCCCUCACUUAACCCAAUAUCUCUGCCUCUCAAACACCUCAAUAUUCUAACCCAUCAAAAUCACAGACCCAUUCACCCCCCCAACCCCAACCCCCCAACCCAAUCCCAUUUCACGUAACGGUCUCUCGCCCACCAGACCCUGCAAAACAAACCCACAACCAUAUCCUUCACAUCCCCACCUCCAGUCCACAUGACUGGAGCAACCGUCCAUUUCCUCCGAUCCCCACCAGGAAAUCAGCUAAUCAGGCACCAAACAGCCCACUAACCCAAGUCCUUUUAGUGGUUAUAUCCUCGAUGCUGAACUUGAUUGAGUCUUAAGAGUUUGCCUAUUGUCACAAACGUUUUACUUUCCUAGAUUUGAACCCGCCUGAGGAUUGACCACGCCCAGGAUCUACCCACAGCUGGUUCAGAUGUCACCGGCCGUCCUCAGGCGACUACAGACGACUCCAGUCAACUCGGCCUCUGCUUGUACACCUUAUCAGUUUUUCGUCCAAUAAUUUGUGUGACUGCAUGUUUGUGUGAUUGCAUGCAUGCCUGUGCGAGUUUUGUUGUGAGUUCGGGUGUUGAGAUUUUAUGAACGCUUGGUGACAGUCCUGGGUGUGUGCGAUUUCAGGUGUCGUGGGGUGGAAGCGGGUGGCGACGGUCGACAUCAUAUCACCAAUUUCACGUUUCCUUGUCACUUGUUCGUCCCGUGUGCUACUGGUCACUGGACGGAGAACUGAUAAGGGCUUGUGGGUGACCAACCGGCGGAAUGACCAAAGCCUAUUUCUACCGAAGUCACAAUGAGAGCGGAUACCCCGUGCCCCGCUGCUGGUACACGAUGCCGCGCCUGUCUCCUGUAUUAAUCGCACUUGACAAGUACACUGAUAAAUAAACGUUACCUUAACUUUGGUGUUCAAAUUUA
This is a long non-coding RNA of Haliotis rubra (blacklip abalone), 2443 nucleotides long. RefSeq lists it as uncharacterized. The transcript has 2 exons. The record is from RefSeq and is a predicted model, not a curated record. NCBI's taxonomy places the organism in Eukaryota, Metazoa, Mollusca, Gastropoda, Lepetellida, Haliotidae.